AGUGAACGCUGGCGGCAGGCCUAAUACAUGCAAGUCGAACGGCAGCACAGCAGAGCUUGCUCUGUGGGUGGCGAGUGGCGGACGGGUGAGGAAUACAUGGGAAUCUGCCCAGUCGUGGGGGAUAACGUAUGGAAACGUACGCUAAUACCGCAUGCGCCCUACGGGGGAAAGUCGGGGACCGCAAGGCCUGACGCGAUUGGAUGAGCCCAUGUUCGAUUAGCUAGUUGGCGGGGUAAAGGCCCACCAAGGCGACGAUCGAUAGCUGGUCUGAGAGGAUGAUCAGCCACACUGGAACUGAGACACGGUCCAGACUCCUACGGGAGGCAGCAGUAGGGAAUAUUGGACAAUGGGGGCAACCCUGAUCCAGCCAUGCCGCGUGAGUGAAGAAGGCCCUCGGGUUGUAAAGCUCUUUUGUCCGGAAAGAAAAGCAAUCGGUUAAUACCCGGUUGUUCUGACGGUACCGGAAGAAUAAGCACCGGCUAACUUCGUGCC
Molecule: ribosomal RNA, 492 nt
Filed under: uncultured bacterium
Lineage: Bacteria
Description: bacterial SSU rRNA
Rfam family: Bacterial small subunit ribosomal RNA
Source: RNAcentral